GCUCAGAGUAUAAGCCAAUGGAGCUUGGAAGGCUUCCGCAGAUGGUGUCCAUCAUACGUGGUGUUCUUAAGACCUUGAGUGUGGCUCGUCAGGCGACAGAUUGAGUUUGCCGGGUAGCUGUCGUGCGGGGGGUUCGGCUUGGAGGUCUCAGGCUUCGGCCGAAAGGCUUCCGGUUGUCCCCUUUUGAAUGGGCGUUCAGAGCUCUUGUGUCUAAUGCGGUUAUGCCCACCACAGCACGUUGUGAGGUCACCCACAGGCUCAAACUGCCGAUCGCGCAUCCAGGACGAUGGCAACGAUGCGUUGUUGAUGAUGGCUCGAGAGAGACUUCACUCACACGCGUGUCUAGUCCUGGGUCGGGCGGCGACCGAGAUAAACCUGGUAUGAUCCUCUUGCGACGAGCUGCUUUCUGGCCAGACCGACGCCCAGGCACCUCCACUGUGCCGGAAGUGCCAAUCCCAGGCGGUGUGAACCCAGCUGCAUUAUGCAAGGUCUCUCAGCCGGGCGUUGGUCUGAGUGGUGUUAAGUCCAGCACCAUCGGUCACGUCUCGAAACACGGGCCAAGGAGUAUAGCAUGUGUGCAAGUCUAAGGGUCUCACAAAACCCGAAGGCGAAGUGAAAGCAAGACUGUGGCGGGGGAGCUACGGCAAACCCGCCGGCCUAGUGGCGCGUGCGUCGCCUGGCUUUUAGCAGAGCUGAUCCUGUUUUCUCGGUUAAUUCUUGGUGCAGGCGCAAGCUCCGGGCUCACGUACAACUCUGGUCACGCCUCGCG
Molecule: ribosomal RNA, 769 nt
Filed under: Niphargus puteanus
Lineage: Eukaryota; Metazoa; Arthropoda; Malacostraca; Amphipoda; Niphargidae
Description: partial 28S ribosomal RNA
Source: RNAcentral